This 371-nucleotide ribosomal RNA is filed under the name uncultured organism. Its description in RNAcentral is "bacterial SSU rRNA". It matches the Rfam family "Bacterial small subunit ribosomal RNA", at positions 526 to 896 of the family's 1533-position model. The record is from RNAcentral.
CGAAGGGGGCGAGCGUUGUUCGGAUUUACUGGGCGUAAAGGGCGCGCAGGCGGCAGACCAAGUCAGGCGUGAAAGCCCCGGGCUUAACCUGGGAGCUGCGUCUGGGACUGGUUUGCUAGAGAUCGGGAGAGGAGAGUGGAAUUCCCAGUGUAGAGGUGAAAUUCGUAGAUAUUGGGAAGAACACCGGUGGCGAAGGCGGCUCUCUGGACCGAUACUGACGCUGAGGCGCGAAAGCGUGGGGAGCAAACAGGAUUAGAUACCCUGGUAGUCCACGCUGUAAACGAUGUGUGCUAGACGUUGGGGAGCCUAGCUCUUCGGUGUCGCAGCUAACGCGGUAAGCACACCGCCUGGGGAGUACGGCCGCAAGGUUA